GAAAUACUUAAUAUAGAGAUUGACGGUGAAUAAAGCUCCAUCGCCAUCUUAGUUGGCUAUUCCUAUACUCAACAUUGAAUGAAAAUGUGUUGCAACUAAAGAUGAUUAAAGCCCCAUGACUACAAUCAGCAGCUAGCCAUAUCAAGCAACAUGCUCUACCAUCGUGGUAGGGAUGAAAUGGUAAGCAUUAAUGAAAUGGCCGAUAUGGUUCUCAGUUUUGAAGCCAUCCAUCCACAUUGCAC
Non-coding RNA from Coffea arabica (coffee), 242 nucleotides. The record is from RefSeq and is a predicted model, not a curated record. NCBI's taxonomy places the organism in Eukaryota, Viridiplantae, Streptophyta, Magnoliopsida, Gentianales, Rubiaceae.